RNAcentral lists this microRNA (21 nucleotides) under Arabidopsis thaliana (thale cress). RNAcentral's name for it is "ath-miR399e". Its record names the gene ath-miR399e. Lineage: Eukaryota; Viridiplantae; Streptophyta; Magnoliopsida; Brassicales; Brassicaceae. RNAcentral also lists the same sequence under 1 other name. The record is from miRBase by way of RNAcentral.
UGCCAAAGGAGAUUUGCCUCG